RNAcentral lists this long non-coding RNA (3697 nucleotides) under Homo sapiens (human). RNAcentral describes it as "HSALNT0306444". Lineage: Eukaryota; Metazoa; Chordata; Mammalia; Primates; Hominidae. The record is from RNAcentral.
GGCCUCUCAAAAGUGGCUCACAUGCUUCCUUGUCCUUUCACACAAAGUGAUCACUGCUCUUUUUUUUGUUUAGAGUCAGGGUCUUGCUCUGUUGCCCAGGCUGGAGUGCAGUGGUGCAAUCAUAGCUACCUGCAGCCUCCAAUUCCUGGGCUCAAGUGAUCUUCCUGCUUCAGCCUCCCAAGCAGAUGGCACUACAGGUACACACGACCAUACCUGGCUAAUUUUUAAAAAUAUUCUGUAGAGGCAGGGUCUUGCUAUCUUUCCCAGGCUGGAACAGUGAUCAUCUUGAAUACCUUUUCUCCCCUGUAGAAACUGUUAUUCCAUCUUUCCUUUUUUCUUUGUGCCUUGUGUGUUCUUUAAGUUGUAUGCAAAAAGUGUCUCUAUUUAAACAUUUUAAAAGUUAUUAUUUAUAGCUUAUAAAUAGGUAUAACAGCAGUAUAGGUAAAUUUUUCACAAACCAGUUAGUUUCUUAAGUAAAUGGUACUCAACAUGAUAGUUAAGGCACCAAAAAGGACCUCUGUAUUUGAGUGACUAAACCUACGCAAUAAAGAGCAGCAUUUUGUACUCAAAAUAAAUUUUGUAGAAAAGGAAACAUGCUGUGUCUUCUAAAGUAAGACAACAAACACACCCAGAAAGGGGGCCCACAGCAUUCCUUUCCUCUCUUUUUCCACCGUAAUUUCCUCCUCAUAUUGCUUUUCCUUUUGUUUACCUUACUCAGGUUCUCCUGUCCCAGCCCCUGGGCUUGCCAGUGAUGCCCAGAGGAUGAUGUGCCUGGUGGCUGAGCUCUUCCAGAACUAAAGACGUGCGGAUCCCUGAGUAUCCAUAACCAUCAAAGCAUGAAGUAAUGCCUUGUAAGUGGUGUCACCACACCUCCCAGAAGAAGGAUGGAUUCCUACCAGAAGCAGUCAAACAUAGUGCCGGAUCAUCUAAGUGAAACGGAUCCCCAUGGGUGCUGCUAUUGGGAUACCAAAGGUCUGAAGUUCAUCCAAUGCAAUAGCAGAAAUAAUUACAUCUGUGAGCAUGUGAGAAGAACCCUGAGUUAGUCCCAAGUGCAAAUCACCAUCUCCAACCAAUUCCUCCACCAAUUGAUGGAUGUUGGGGAGUGGGGUACAGCAACCCCUCCAAGUCCUUCCUCCCUCUAUAUAGCCCAGGAGACUCCCCUCCCACCAGCCUGGCCCCCAGAGUGCUGACUGGCAACAAUAUUCCAAGUUAAAAUAGUUUGCUAAAUAGUUAUACAAUUAGUUUACAAUUCAAAUAUAUCAGAGGAAAAGACAGGGAAAAAAAUUCUAAGAUACAUGAAUCCCAGACCAUUGCUCUCCAAAUAUUUUCAAGUGAUUCAUCUCCUUUAUUUAAAAAAUGAAUUAACCACCAGAUGGGACACUCAUACAUUCCUGAUGGUUGUAGGAAUCAGUAGACCCUGUAUGGAAAGCAAUAGGAUAAUAUUUCAUAGGAUCAAAUUAAAAUGUUCACAGCAUUGGUUCCAGGAAAUUGGCUUCUGGAGAAUUUAUACUCCAGAAACAAUUCAACAAAAGAACACAGCUCUGUGCAUGCAGAUGCUCAUUAGCCCAUCACCUAGAGUAAGGGAAAGUGGAGAUCCCAAUGAACAACAAUGAGAUGGGUUAGCGAACUGUGACCUAUCAGCCCAAUGGACAUUUAAGCAAUCACUGAAAAGUAGAAACAUGAAGAUAUUACACAACAUGGAAACUGUUUAUGGAGUAUAUUUAGGUAAAAAGGAAAAAAAGGCAGAACUGUAUAUCUGUGGUUGGAUAUACUUUUUUUUUUUUAAUAUUAAGCACCAACCAAAAGAAGAAAGGAGGAUAGAAAAAAUAAAAUGGAAGAUGUAGGGUGGGCAGAUUAGGGCUGCGUUUGUUGCUUGCUUUCAUGUUACCAUCAUAGCGUUUUUGCCACUUACAAAGGAGGAAAAAAAUCAAUUCUGUGCCAACCCAGACAACAGAGACCUGAGUGGGGGUUGGGAAGAGAGAUUUUUCAGCACAGAAUCAGACUCCUUCUCCAAAGAGCUGUGUGGCCUUCACCUGCAAGGCGACCUCUUCCACAAGCAGAGGCCAGGACAAAAAGAGGCACCUGUGAGCGACAAAGACGGUUUCCUUGGUUUCCCUCACGGCGCCAAGCGGAGUGGCCGCCUCCCACCACAGGGCCCCCUAAUGGGCGCUUUUGUCCUGCGGGGCAGAGGGACCUCAUUAGAAGGCGCUGGUGCUAAAGGGAAAUGCAUUUCCAGAACAGGAGGUUUCAUCAUUCCUAGCGUUAGCGACAGAAUGGUGACAGAAGCUCUGUGGACGUAUUUUCCAGCGUUCAGUUCACAUCAAGGAUGGGUAUGCACUGGCGGAAAAGGUCAGCUCGCAGAAUGAUCGCCCAUCCACACAGCGUUUGGAGGUCAGACGUUCCUGAUGACUGUGAAAAUGGGGAGGUGAGAAGAGGUCGUCAAAGGGAGCAGCCUUUUAAAGCCAGGUACAGGUUAAAGCCCUGAGGCCAGAGCCUUGCCCAGGCUCCUCUAGCGUGGAGAGCUCCCGCCUUACGGUACAGCUGGCACCUGCUGGUCCCCAGGGCCCUUCGCUGCGACUGCGGCAGACAACCUUGGCAAAGAUGCUGGGGACCGCCCGGGCUGGAAAACGUCGGCCUCUGGCGCUUGAGAAAGGCCAGGCGGACUCCUGCAAUACCCUCGGUAAACUGUCACCUGUCAAUCACUUGACCUAAAUACACCAGCCACUGGAGGAAGGGGAGGAGGGGGUUAGUCGGAGCAUGCUCAGUGAUCAGGAUGACAUCACUUAAUCAAUGCUGGGGACGGGAAGGCUGCAUCAGCAGCCUGGAGCAGGCUGCCAGGAACGUGUCAGCGGGGACCGGGAGGCUCCCAUUAACUCGGUCCCUCCCCACGCGGCUCGCAUACAAAGGGGGCACCAUCAGCCACACACGCUACGGACAGCGGGCGGGGAAGGGGCGGGGGACCGAGCUGGUUUGUUUCAUCUGACAGAUUCCUUUAAGAACUACAAUCCAUUGGUGUUCCCUCCCCCUACCAGCAGCCCCAGCUGCAGAGAGGGAGCUAAGUAGGGGGAGGGGGUGGGGGAGAAAAGGUGGGGAAGGGAGAUAGAGAGGGAGGGGGGUCCGAGCCGCACGAAGUAACUUCUGCUCUUGGCACAGGGGGCUACUGCGCUCUGAGCCCCCUCGCCCCACAGAUGUGGACACAGCCUCCUCUCCACCCAGCGUGAGGCGCAUCAGAGGGUCUGCAGACAUGGGAGGGAGGUCAUCCCAGAGGGGAGGGAUCAAGCCGGGACUCCACAUCCAGGGCAGCCAGGCGUGAGAGGAAGCGGGAGACACACCAGGCCUCCAGGGGACACCGAGGCCACCAGUACUCCCCCAACCCUCCGCCUUCCGCGCGCGGAGCCAGGUGUAACACCGCGGGGAGCCGCGUCUACACUGCCGCGGGAGCUCCGAGACGCGACUAGAAAUUUUCCUGUACCCCUUUUUCUUUCUUUUUUGCUAGGGUCGUGAGAAGAAGAGGCAAGGCGUUUGGUAAAUCGAAUUGAUUGAUGCCCAGAAGCAUUUGCGGGUUGCAGAGCUCACACUUUAAAGGGGGCCUGGGCACCCGGCUUGAGGGUCACCCGAACACACUACCCACGCGGCGAGGCGAGCGUGGGGAACAAUGGGCCCACCCGGGCCCCCACCCGGCGAACAAUGGCGGCGC